This 468-nucleotide ribosomal RNA is filed under the name uncultured bacterium. RNAcentral's name for it is "partial 16S ribosomal RNA". It matches the Rfam family "Bacterial small subunit ribosomal RNA", at positions 28 to 507 of the family's 1533-position model. The record is from RNAcentral.
GACGAACGCUGGCGGCGUGCUUAACACAUGCAAGUCGAACGGAAAGGCCCUGCUUUUGUGGGGUUCUCGAUUGGGGAACGGGUGAGUAAAACGUGAGUAACCUGCCCUUGACUGUGGGAUAACAUCAGGAAACUGGGGCGAAUACCGGAUAGGAGCUCCUGCUGCAUGUUGGGGGUUGGAAAGAUUCGGCGGUGGGGGAUGGACUCGCGGCUUAUCAGCUUGUUUGUGAGGUAGUGGCUUACCAAGGCUUUGACGGGUAGCCGGCCUGAGAGGGUGACCGGCCACAUUGGGACUGAGAUACGGACCAGACUCCUACGGGCGGCAGCAGGGGGGAAUAUUGCACAAUGGGCGCAAGCCAGAUGCAGCAACGCCGCGUGCGGGAUGACGGCCUUCGGGUUGUAAACCGCUUUCGCCUGUGACGAGGCGUGAGUGACGGUAACGGGUAAAGAAGCACCGGCUAACUACGUG